GAUCAUGGCUCAGGACGAACGCUGGCGGCGUGCCUAACACAUGCAAGUCGAACGGGGGCUAGGAAAGCUUGCUUUCCGAAGCCUAGUGGCGGACGGGUGAGUAACGCGUGAGUAACCUGCCUUUCAGAGGGGAAUAACGUUCUGAAAAGAACGCUAAUACCGCAUAACGUACAGUUACCGCAUGGUAGCAGUACCAAAGGAGCAAUCCGCUGAAAGAUGGACUCGCGUCCGAUUAGCUAGUUGGUGGGGUAAAGG
This 255-nucleotide ribosomal RNA is filed under the name uncultured bacterium. Its description in RNAcentral is "partial 16S ribosomal RNA". It matches the Rfam family "Bacterial small subunit ribosomal RNA", at positions 15 to 263 of the family's 1533-position model. The record is from RNAcentral.